Molecule: unclassified non-coding RNA, 490 nt
Filed under: uncultured Glomus
Lineage: Eukaryota; Fungi; Glomeromycota; Glomeromycetes; Glomerales; Glomeraceae
Description: SSU rRNA
Rfam family: Eukaryotic small subunit ribosomal RNA
Source: RNAcentral
AGCAGCCGCGGUAAUUCCAGCUCCAAUAGCGUAUAUUAAAGUUGCUGCAGUUAAAAAGCUCGUAGUUGAAUUUCGGGACUAAUAUGUCGGUCGUGCCUCGGUACGUACUGGUUUAUUGGUUUCUCCUUUCUGAAGAACCAUGAUGUCAUUUAUUUGGUGUCGUGGGGAAUCAGGACUGUUACUUUGAAAAAAUUAGAGUGUUUAAAGCAGGCUCACGCUUGAAUACAUUAGCAUGGAAUAAUGAAAUAGGACGUUUGAUUCUAUUUUGUUGGUUUCUAGGAUCGACGUAAUGAUUAAUAGGGAUAGUUGGGGGCAUUAGUAUUCAAUUGUCAGAGGUGAAAUUCUUGGAUUUAUUGAAGACUAACUACUGCGAAAGCAUUUGCCAAGGAUGUUUUCAUUAAUCAAGAACGAAAGUUAGGGGAUCGAAGACGAUCAGAUACCGUCGUAGUCUUAACCAUAAACUAUGCCGACUAGGGAUCGGAUGAUGUUA